Molecule: ribosomal RNA, 296 nt
Filed under: uncultured bacterium
Lineage: Bacteria
Description: partial 16S ribosomal RNA
Rfam family: Bacterial small subunit ribosomal RNA
Source: RNAcentral
CGCCGCCUACGGGGCGCAGCAGUAGGGAAUCUUCCACAAUGGGCGAAAGCCUGAUGGAGCAACGCCGCGUGGGUGAAGAAGGUGUUCGGAUCGUAAAUCCCUGUUGUUAGAGAAGAAAGUGCGUGAGAGUAACUGUUCACGUUUCGACGGUAUCUAACCAGAAAGCCACGGCUAACUACGUGCCAGCAGCCGCGGUAAUACGUAGGUGGCAAGCGUUAUCCGGAUUUAUUGGGCGUAAAGAGAACGCAGGCGGUCUUUUAAGUCUGAUGUGAAAGCCUUCGGCUUAACCGGAGUAG